ACACACACACACACACAGACAGACAUACUGACACACACACACACAGACAUACUGGCACACACACACAGACAUACACACACACACACAGACAUACACACACACACAGACAGACCUACUGACAUACAUUUAGCCACCCUCCAGGUUCUUACCUUUUCCUGGAGGGUGGUUUCCCUGGUCCAGUGGCAGGCUGAGGCAGAUGGGAGUUCUCCUCUUGAACUCCCCUCCUCCCUGCCUUCCUCCUCCCGCGCGGCUAUCUCCGGUGGGAGGAAGUGACGUCACUCCUCCCAGCCGGCUGCAGAACCGGAAGAGGGGCCCGGUCGCGCUGUUUAAGCGCCACAGCGCCCGAUCGGGCCCUUGUUGACACAUGCUCUCC
Pelobates cultripes (western spadefoot toad) is the source of this 373-nucleotide non-coding RNA. Lineage: Eukaryota; Metazoa; Chordata; Amphibia; Anura; Pelobatidae. The record is from the annotation of a GenBank genome assembly.